RNAcentral lists this ribosomal RNA (1434 nucleotides) under uncultured marine bacterium. RNAcentral's name for it is "16S ribosomal RNA". It matches the Rfam family "Bacterial small subunit ribosomal RNA". The record is from RNAcentral.
GAGUUUGAUCCUGGCUCAGAACGAACGCUGGCGGCAGGCCUAACACAUGCAAGUCGAGCGCACCCUUCGGGGCGAGCGGCGGACGGGUUAGUAACGCGUGGGAAUGUACCCUUUUCUACGGAAUAGCCAUUGGAAACGAUGAGUAAUACCGUAUACGCCCUUUGGGGGAAAGAUUUAUCGGAGAAGGAUCAGCCCGCGUUAGAUUAGAUAGUUGGUGGGGUAAUGGCCUACCAAGUCUACGAUCUAUAGCUGGUUUUAGAGGAUGAUCAGCAACACUGGGACUGAGACACGGCCCAGACUCCUACGGGAGGCAGCAGUGGGGAAUCUUGCACAAUGGAGGAAACUCUGAUGCAGCGAUGCCGCGUGAGUGAAGAAGGCCUUUGGGUUGUAAAGCUCUUUCGUCGGGGAAGAAAAUGACUGUACCCGAAUAAGAAGGUCCGGCUAACUUCGUGCCAGCAGCCGCGGUAAUACGAAGGGACCUAGCGUAGUUCGGAAUUACUGGGCUUAAAGAGUUCGUAGGUGGUUGAAAAAGUUGGUGGUGAAAUCCCAGAGCUUAACUCUGGAACUGCCAUCAAAACUUUUCAGCUAGAGUAUGAUAGAGGAAAGCAGAAUUUCUAGUGUAGAGGUGAAAUUCGUAGAUAUUAGAAAGAAUACCAAUUGCGAAGGCAGCUUUCUGGAUCAUUACUGACACUGAGGAACGAAAGCAUGGGUAGCGAAGAGGAUUAGAUACCCUCGUAGUCCAUGCCGUAAACGAUGUGUGUUAGACGUUGGAAAUUUAUUUUCAGUGUCGCAGGGAAACCGAUAAACACACCGCCUGGGGAGUACGACCGCAAGGUUAAAACUCAAAUGAAUUGACGGGGACCCGCACAAGUAGUGGAGCAUGUGGUUUAAUUCGAAGAUACGCGCAGAACCUUACCAACACUUGACAUGUUCGUCGCGACUCUAAGAGAUUAGAGUUUUCGGUUCGGCCGGACGAAACACAGGUGCUGCAUGGCUGUCGUCAGCUCGUGUCGUGAGAUGUUGGGUUAAGUCCCGCAACGAGCGCAACCCUCACUUUUAGUUGCCAUCAUUAAGUUGGGCACUCUGAAAGAACUGCCAGUGAUAAGCUGGAGGAAGGUGGGGAUGACGUCAAGUCCUCAUGGCCCUUACGUGUUGGGCUACACACGUGCUACAAUGGUAUCUACAACAGGAAGCAAGACUGCGAAGUUAAGCAAAUCCCUAAAAGAUACCUCAGUUCGGAUUGCACUCUGCAACUCGAGUGCAUGAAGCUGGAAUUACUAGUAAUCGUGGAUCAGCGUGCCACGGUGAAUGCGUUCCCGGGUCUUGUACACACCGCCCGUCACACCAUGGGAGUUGGUUCUACCUUAAGGCAAGGUUUCAAACCCUUGACCACGGUAUAGUCAGCGACUGGGGUGAAGUCGUAACAAGGUAACC